AUAAAUAACGACGCAUUCAGUGUUCAGUUUCACUUUGGGGAUCCGCCGUUUCAGCAACACUCCAACAUGAGAACCUUCGCCGCCAUAGUCCUGAUUGCUGCCGCCUGCUUUUUGGUUUUUGCAGAUGCUCAGACAUCUGUUACUAGGAAGCCAACCCUACCAACCAAACCAACCCUACCAACCAAACCAACCCCACCAACCAAACCCCCA
Molecule: long non-coding RNA, 210 nt
Organism: Daphnia pulicaria
Lineage: Eukaryota; Metazoa; Arthropoda; Branchiopoda; Diplostraca; Daphniidae
Exons: 2
Source: RefSeq, a predicted model, not a curated record